RNAcentral lists this long non-coding RNA (1408 nucleotides) under Salmo salar (Atlantic salmon). RNAcentral describes it as "lncRNA (ENSSSAG00000100557.1)". The record is from RNAcentral. Lineage: Eukaryota; Metazoa; Chordata; Actinopteri; Salmoniformes; Salmonidae.
UUUCCAUUGGAUUGAUUUUUUUUUUCUUUGCUUGUCUUUUUUUUGCUCAAGAAGUGACAUGCAGGAGGCUUUGUGAAGCUGUUGGGAAACGGGCAUUUCUUAUUUUCCAAUAACUUGAAUGUUUCCUUUUACAGUUGAAUUAUCUCUACCAGCCAAAUCUGCAGUUAUUCAAACAUAACACUGUACUACAUACACUUUUGGCCACUAAAGGGUCAAAGAUGUUGGCAGCAUGCACACAUGACUUCAAAUUACCCAAGUGGUCAUUGAAGGACUAUUUUUAUCCGUCGACAAAAUGCUUUCCAUAAAACAAUGGAAUUUAGGUGGUCAAACAUUGUAUUCAAUAUAGAACAGAAAUGGGUCCAAAGCUAAUAUUUAGGUUAAGGAUUUAAACCGAGUUAUCAAUUGUUGUAGUCAGCCUAUAUAUUCAGAAACGUACAAACCCAUCCAAGUCUACAUUUUGGUUACACUUUCAUGAAACUAGAUAUGUUUUGAAAAAAUACACUGAAGUGGUGUCAAGACUAGGCUACAUUAAGAUCUACCUAUACAAGGUUGGCAAUUGUGAUGGAUUUCAUACCUCUGAUGCAAGUCAAUGCAACACAAUUACAGUGCAGUUUACCCACCAGUUUGGUAACACCCUUUAUUCCCUACUGGCACUUAGUAUGAACAACAAUCAGUUAAAGAUACUUCUCUUACAAGAACAUAUGAACCCCUUAUCUGUGAAGUUUACAUUUUUAUUUACUGUAGUCUUCAUUUUUACUCAGUCAUUUGUUACUUUAAAAUGUCAAAAAUGUAGGCUAACAGUUUUAUUUGUAUUUAUUUAUAAUUGUUUACUGUGUAUUGGUGUGCUUGAUUAUGUUUGGUAAUAGGUGGAGGCUCUGCGAUCGGAUUGGUUCAUAAACACUCCAACCAGGACGUUGAAGGAAAUGAAUGAGCCAGUUGAUUGGAUGCACCGCUUGUUAAUAUCAAAGGUUAACCCUACAGUCAAUACCCUCUCCUGUCUGGAUUAACACCCAAAAUAACAUUUAUUUUCAAGAAACUUUUUUUUUUUAAUAUAUAGUUCGUGUAAAUAAUUGUACAUGCUGUGCUCAUAGAAAUGCAUGUUUGUUCUCUGCUUACUCCCAUGCUGAUAUAAACAUGUAAUAUUUGUUUGUAUAGCAGUUUAUCAAUAUUUGGAGAGGGAGGCAGAGUACAGGGUGGAGGAACAGCCAUCUUUGUCUCUUGGGAGAAGGCAUUUUUCCUUUUUUGGGGUUUGCUGAGCAGAGUUCUGUAAAUUGUCUGUAUAUGUGAGUUGUGGUGUUUUGAAAUGAGACGGUAAUAAGAAACAUGCAUUUUUAACCCAGUUAAGCGAUUGUAAAAUGUACUUAAUGGUUACCACGUCAAAGAAAAUAAAUGUGGGUCGGCUCUUUUA